Long non-coding RNA from Paramisgurnus dabryanus, 1138 nucleotides. RefSeq lists it as uncharacterized. Lineage: Eukaryota; Metazoa; Chordata; Actinopteri; Cypriniformes; Cobitidae. The record is from RefSeq and is a predicted model, not a curated record.
UGGGAGGAAACCCGGAAGUAUCGCCGUGAAUCACAUGAGAGUUGUGAAUGCGAUGUUGUGUAUUAGGCUGUACAUAAUAUUAACGGAAAGAGAGUGAUAAUAUAUAACCUUUCAUCGCUUCCGAAGUGACUAAAAGGGAUAUUGGACCUUAUUUUCAGAUUACAGACAACACGAGAGGGUGCUUCAAACUUUUUAAUCAGGACUGCAUUGUUUGUUCGCUCCCGGGGUUACAUAGACUGAAACGGGGAAGCGUGACGAGUUUGUUUACAUGGUGCUGUAAACUUCAACCCAGGAGGACACUUCAAAGGAAUCAAGGUGUCUGUGAUAUUGAAACACUAAAGGAAGAAGAGGAGGACCACCAUUCGUUUCCUGAGCAGAAAAAAAAUUAAGCAUAUCUAACAGUGGUUCUGGGGCAUUGCAAGACUAUGGUUACCUGGAAACAUCUCCUAUUAUGGAAGAUUAUCGCAACAUUUGUGUCUUGGAUCAUUUUUUCUUGUUUCUCUGCCACAGAUUUAGCUGUAAGGUUUAAAGGUCCCGUUUAUCCUGAUCCCAUUUUUUAAACUUUAGUUGGUGUGUAAUGUUGCUGUUAGAGCAUAAAUAAUAUCUGUAAAAUUAUAAAGCUCAAAAUUCUAUACCAAGCGAUAUAUUUUCUUUAAUAGAAUUUCCCUUUCAAAGCCUAUAGCAAACGGCCAGUUUGGACUACAGCCCUCUACUUCUCGAUUGAAUGACAUCCAAAGAAGAGUUUUUUACUAACCUCUGCCCACUGGAAUAUGUCAGUCGCCAGCUAAGCUCAAGUGGCUCUACUAAGCUGCUGUUGAAUCACAGCACACUAAACAAACUACAUAAUCAGAACUCGAUAGGUAUUUCUGAAGGAGGGACUUUAUAGAACAAGGAAGACAUCAGCUCGUUUUUAGUAAAGUAAAAACAGCGCUAGAGAGUAUGUGAAAAAUAUUGUCUUUUUUUACACACAAAACAUGAACACACGCUAUAUUGCACACCAUAAACACAAUCAUAGUUUGUGUUAAAUACUCUCAUUCUCACGGCACCCAUUCACUGCAGAGGAUCCCAUUGUAAGCAAUGUAAUGCUUAAUUUCUCCAAAUCUGUUCCAGUGAAAAAACAAACCAUCUAUAUCUUGGG